UAGGGAAUCUUCCACAAUGGACGAAAGUCUGAUGGAGCAACGCCGCGUGAGUGAUGAAGGGUUUCGGCUCGUAAAGCUCUGUUGUUGGAGAAGAACGGGUGUCAGAGUAACUGUUGACAUCGUGACGGUAUCCAACCAGAAAGCCACGGCUAACUACGUGCCAGCAGCCGCGGUAAUACGUAGGUGGCAAGCGUUGUCCGGAUUUAUUGGGCGUAAAGCGAGCGCAGGCGGUUUUUUAGGUCUGAUGUGAAAGCCUUCGGCUUAACCGGAGAAGUGCAUCGGAAACCGGGAGACUUGAGUGCAGAAGAGGACAGUGGAACUCCAUGUGUAGCGGUGAAAUGCGUAGAUAUAUGGAAGAACACCAGUGGCGAAGGCGGCUGUCUGGUCUGCAACUGACGCUGAGGCUCGAAAGCAUGGGUAGCGAACAGGAUUAGAUACCCUGGUAGUCCAUGCCGUAAACGAUGAGUGCUAAGUGUUGGAGGGUUUCCGCCCUUCAGUGCUGCAGCUAACGCAUUAAGCACUCCGCCUGGGGGAGUACGACCGCAAGGUUGAAAC
Molecule: ribosomal RNA, 555 nt
Filed under: uncultured bacterium
Lineage: Bacteria
Description: partial 16S ribosomal RNA
Rfam family: Bacterial small subunit ribosomal RNA
Source: RNAcentral